GUCCCGAAAAGGCAACUUGCUCCGAAAGGGUAAGGCGCAAAUUAGUGGUCCUGUAGCCAGAGUUAGGUGUCGGUAUGGAUGUGCUAAUGCCGAA
Molecule: non-coding RNA, 94 nt
Filed under: Cyanothece sp.
Lineage: Bacteria; Bacillati; Cyanobacteriota; Cyanophyceae; Gomontiellales; Cyanothecaceae
Description: c-di-GMP sequence
Rfam family: c-di-GMP-I riboswitch aptamer
About the family: GEMM was predicted in a large-scale screen for bacterial structured RNA regulatory elements. Genes associated with GEMM are involved in a diverse array of functions, including chemotaxis regulation, signal transduction, secretion and chitin.
Source: RNAcentral